Molecule: ribosomal RNA, 1341 nt
Filed under: uncultured bacterium
Lineage: Bacteria
Description: 16S ribosomal RNA
Rfam family: Bacterial small subunit ribosomal RNA
Source: RNAcentral
GACGAACGCUGGCGGUGCGCCUUAUGCAUGCAAGUCGAGCGAAGCUUCUCUGUAGUUUACUACCGAGAAUGACUGAGCGGCGAACGGGUGAGUAACGCGUGAGCAAUCUACCUUAGUUACAGGGAUAGCCCGAGGAAACUCGGAUUAAUACCUGAUAUUCUUUAAAUUUCGCAUGAAAUUAAAAGGAAAGGUCAGCCGAACUAAGAUGAGCUCGCGUUCUAUCAGCUAGUUGGUGAGGUAAUAGCUCACCAAGGCUACGACGGAUAGCUGGUCUGAGAGGACGAUCAGCCACACUGGGACUGAGACACGGCCCAGACUCCUACGGGAGGCUGCAGCAGGGAAUAUUGUGCAAUGAGCGAAAGCUUGACACAGCGACACCGCGUGUGGGAUGACGGAUCUAGGUUUGUAAACCACUUUCAGGAGGGAAGAAAAUGACGGUACCUCCACAAGAAGCCCCGGCCAACUACGUGCCAGCAGCCGCGGUAAUACGUAGGGGGCGAGCGUUGUCCGGAUUUAUUGGGCGUAAAGAGCUCGUAGGCGGUUCAACAAGUCGGUCGUGAAAGUUCAGGGCUCAACCCUGAAAUGUCGAUCGAUACUGUUGUGACUAGGAUACGGUAGAGGUGAGUGGAAUUCCGAGUGUAGCGGUGAAAUGCGUAGAUAUUCGGAGGAACACCAAUUGCGAAGGCAGCUCACUGGGCCGCUAUCGACGCUGAGGAGCGAAAGCUAGGGGAGCAAACAGGAUUAGAUACCCUGGUAGUCCUAGCUGUAAACGAUGGAUACUAGACGUAGGAACUGGAUUGACGGUUUCUGUGUCGCAGCUAACGCGUUAAGUAUCCCGCCUGGGGAGUACGGUCGCAAGACUAAAACUCAAAGGAAUUGACGGGGCCCCGCACAAGCGGCGGAGCAUGCGGCUUAAUUCGAUGAUACCCGUAGAACCUUACCUGGACUUGACAUAUAGGGUCAAGCUAUAGAAAUAUAGUGUGCAUUAGCGCCCUAUACAGGUGGUGCAUGGCUGUCGUCAGCUCGUGUCGUGAGAUGUUGGGUUAAGUCCCGCAACGAGCGCAACCCCUGUCCUAUGUUGCCAGCAUUUAGUUGGGGACUCAUAGGAGACUGCCGGUGAUAAACCGGAGGAAGGUGGGGAUGACGUCAAGUCAUCAUGCCCCUUAUGUCCAGGGCUGCACGCAUGCUACAAUGGCAAGUACAACGAGUCGCAAUACCGCGAGGUGGAGCAAAUCUCUUAAAGCUUGUCUCAGUUCGGAUAGGAGUCUGCAACUCGACUCCUUGAAGUUGGAGUCGCUAGUAAUCGCAAAUCAGCAAUGUUGCGGUGAAUACGUUCUCGGG